RNAcentral lists this transfer RNA (69 nucleotides) under Euhamitermes sp. A TB-2017. Its description in RNAcentral is "tRNA-Asn". Lineage: Eukaryota; Metazoa; Arthropoda; Insecta; Blattodea; Termitidae. The record is from RNAcentral.
UCAAUUGAAACCAAAGGAAGAGGUAUAUUAUUGUUAAUAAUAAAAUUGAAUUAAGAGAUUCCAAUUGAA